This 697-nucleotide ribosomal RNA is filed under the name Acinetobacter sp. SG1. RNAcentral's name for it is "bacterial SSU rRNA". It matches the Rfam family "Bacterial small subunit ribosomal RNA", at positions 356 to 1046 of the family's 1533-position model. The record is from RNAcentral. Lineage: Bacteria; Pseudomonadati; Pseudomonadota; Gammaproteobacteria; Moraxellales; Moraxellaceae.
GGGGGAUAUUGGACAAUGGGGGGAACCCUGAUCCAGCCAUGCCGCGUGUGUGAAGAAGGCCUUAUGGUUGUAAAGCACUUUAAGCGAGGAGGAGGCUCUUUUGUUAAUACCCAGGAUGAGUGGACGUUACUCGCAGAAUAAGCACCGGCUAACUCUGUGCCAGCAGCCGCGGUAAUACAGAGGGUGCAAGCGUUAAUCGGAUUUACUGGGCGUAAAGCGCGCGUAGGCGGCCAAUUAAGUCAAAUGUGAAAUCCCCGAGCUUAACUUGGGAAUUGCAUUCGAUACUGGUUGGCUAGAGUGUGGGAGAGGAUGGUAGAAUUCCAGGUGUAGCGGUGAAAUGCGUAGAGAUCUGGAGGAAUACCGAUGGCGAAGGCAGCCAUCUGGCCUAACACUGACGCUGAGGUGCGAAAGCAUGGGGAGCAAACAGGAUUAGAUACCCUGGUAGUCCAUGCCGUAAACGAUGUCUACUAGCCGUUGGGGCCUUUGAGGCUUUAGUGGCGCAGCUAACGCGAUAAGUANACCGCCUGGGGAGUACGGUCGCAAGACUAAAACUCAAAUGAAUUGACGGGGGCCCNCACAAGCGGUGGAACAUGUGGGUUAAUUCNAUGCAACNCGNAAAAACUUACCUGGGCUUUACAUAAUAAAAACUUUCCANANAUGGAGUGGUGCCUUCUCGAUAUACAUACANNNGCGGCUG